Molecule: non-coding RNA, 106 nt
Organism: Acanthosepion pharaonis
Lineage: Eukaryota; Metazoa; Mollusca; Cephalopoda; Sepiida; Sepiidae
Source: the annotation of a GenBank genome assembly
GCCACAUCACGUUGUAACACCGGUUCGCGUACGAUCACCAGAGUUAAGCAAUAUCGAGCCUGGUCACUACCAAGAUGGGUGAUCACUUGCGAAUUCUUAGAUUUGC